RNAcentral lists this long non-coding RNA (658 nucleotides) under Equus caballus (horse). RNAcentral's name for it is "lncRNA (ENSECAG00000058293.1)". Lineage: Eukaryota; Metazoa; Chordata; Mammalia; Perissodactyla; Equidae. The record is from RNAcentral.
AAACUCUUUGUCCCAAGAGGACUGGUGAAGAGGAACAAAAUCCUGUUACUGAAUCCCCCAGGUCAAGCAGAGGAAGAUAAGAAUAGCUGAUGAGUAAUCAAGAAGCCUAGGAGGAUACGAUGUCGUGGAAGAUGAGCCCAAAGACUAUUUCAAGAAGGAGAAAUGAUCAAUGUAUCAAAUACUGCAUAGAGAACCCAAGCAGACCCAAUUUAGGACUCUACAAAACAACCAAAAAUCAAUGCAAAGAGGAAGAAGAUGGAGCCGCCAAUGUAAAUAGCUCAUUGACUGAGAAACGGGAAGUAGCUAGAGUUGCAGCCAUCACUCAUGAGUAUCUGUCACCCUUUUCCUGCCGUGGAAGAGAGUGGCUUGAGAUGCACUGAGCUCAGUUUGCCUUUUAACAUUUAUAAGAGACUUCAGAUGUUUAAGGUAGUUUAAAGUCUGGCAUUCCAUAAAGAAGAAGGAUACUACUGAUCACAGCCACAGAAUUAUUAUUCAUCUUCUUAGUUGAAAAAUAAGUUAUUUCUCUCAGUUUAAAAAAAUGCACUUGGAGGAGUACAAUUACACAGGUACUUUUUAGUUCUACUUUCCAAACACAGUUUUCUAAAUUUUACUUUAGUUUACUACGUUGUAAGAAAACUUAAUGAGAGGAAACCCUGGC